RNAcentral lists this ribosomal RNA (1320 nucleotides) under Triticum aestivum (bread wheat). RNAcentral describes it as "partial small subunit ribosomal RNA". Lineage: Eukaryota; Viridiplantae; Streptophyta; Magnoliopsida; Poales; Poaceae. The record is from RNAcentral.
AUGGUUAUAAUAGGAGGAGAUGCGGAUGGCAAUGAAGAAGAUCAUUCUGGAACUCAGUCGCUUCGCCGGAGGUCGAAGCGUCCUGCUAAUCGCCAGCCACGACCUGCGCGGAGUGUUGAGCAGGGAGAGGAUGUUGAGGAUGCUAAGCAGUUCCGUGUUGUAAAGCGGCCUAGACGUGCAGUAGUUGGAAAGGGAGUUGAGUCAUCUUCUAGGGCAGCAGUUGCUGGAAGAGCUGUCUCAUCUUUCACAACAGAUGCUGAGGCUAGCGGUCAAGGAGUUGAGGUGGCUGCAGGGGAAGAUGUGGAGCGACCAUCACAAGCGGGCAGGAUAAGGGCAUCACCAGCGCGGUUUGCAAAUUUCAACGCCUCUCUAACCCCACCACAGAAGUUAGAGCUAGUUUCGAGGUUGUUCGGGGGGCUAUUGAACUUGUCAGACACACUUCCAGCGGACCUCACUAAGUUCCUGGUGCAGUCCUACCAGCCACAGACCUCUGAAAUGGUUUUCCCAGGAAGGGGAAGGAUCCGUGUCGAUGCUGACAGUGUUCAAAGGAUCAGUACAUGGACCAAGAUGAUUAAGGAUAUGGGCGAAAGAACGGAUGACACAUUCUUUAUGGCCUGGCUUGCGGUUGCCUUCAACACUUUCUUAGCACCAACCACGGCCUUGAAGCUCAGCCCAAAGUGCUACGGACUCGUGCUAGAUCAUGAAAACCUCAAGAACACAAGCAUCUGCCUUUUUGUAGCAGAACACAUUAACGAAGCUUUCCAGAACAUGGACCAGGAGAAGCAAACUAUCUUCUGCUGCUUGUAUCACUUGAUGAUACUAUACGUUGAUGCGCUUGUCCAUGACAUCCCAGUAAGCACAUGCGCGAUACGAUCGAAUGCAUGGGAUAGUAUUGUAAUUGCCAAGGUGAUCAAGAAGGAUACCAUCUCUCCUGGCGUGUUCGGCAAAUUACAACUUAAAGAGGAGUAUAGAGGCACGGAGCAGACACCACUGUUUGGUGGAAUUUUGCAAGCUGAAGCAUUCGUGGCAUCCAAGUUACCAAUAACCUACAAUCCGCAGAAAAAGGCAAAGAUUGCGAAAGUGCAGCCAUCAAUGCAAACCGGGGCGUCACGUCGUGCUCCAAAAAGAAAGAGACGGGGGUCAACUAUACAAGAAGAAGAAGAGUUUGUUGAGGAUGAGUCAGAAGAAGAUGAGAAAAUGGAAGCAGCGAUAGAUGUUGACGAUGACGGGGACACAGACGCGGAUGAAUCAGAUGAGGAAGACAAGGAUGAGGAUGACAAUGAAGAAGAUGCAGAGGAGGAGGAGGAGGAGGAGGAGUAA